UCGCGCGUGAAUAUUGGCACAAUGGGCGCAAGCCUGAUGCAGCCAUGCCGCGUGUAUGAAGAAGGCCUUCGGGUUGUAAAGUACUUUCAGCGGGGAGGAAGGGAGUAAAGUUAAUACCUUUGCUCAUUGACGUUACCCGCAGAAGAAGCACCGGCUAACUCCGUGCCAGCAGCCGCGGUAAUUAAC
RNAcentral lists this ribosomal RNA (186 nucleotides) under uncultured bacterium. Its description in RNAcentral is "partial 16S ribosomal RNA". It matches the Rfam family "Bacterial small subunit ribosomal RNA", at positions 351 to 526 of the family's 1533-position model. The record is from RNAcentral.